RNAcentral lists this ribosomal RNA (463 nucleotides) under uncultured bacterium. RNAcentral describes it as "bacterial SSU rRNA". It matches the Rfam family "Bacterial small subunit ribosomal RNA", at positions 331 to 792 of the family's 1533-position model. The record is from RNAcentral.
CCAGACUCCUACGGGAGGCAGCAGUGAGGAAUAUUGGUCAAUGGCCGAGAGGCUGAACCAGCCAAGUCGCGUGAGGGAAGACGGCCCUACGGGUUGUAAACCUCUUUUGUCGGGGAGCAAAGAGAGUCACGUGUGACUCAUUGAGAGUACCCGAAGAAAAAGCAUCGGCUAACUCCGUGCCAGCAGCCGCGGUAAUACGGAGGAUGCGAGCGUUAUCCGGAUUUAUUGGGUUUAAAGGGUGCGCAGGCGGAGGUGCAAGUCAGCGGUCAAAUUGCGGGGCUCAACCCCGUACUGCCGUUGAAACUGGCGUUCUUGAGUGAGCGAGAAGUAUGCGGAAUGCGUGGUGUAGCGGUGAAAUGCAUAGAUAUCACGCAGAACUCCGAUUGCGAAGGCAGCAUACCGGCGCUCAACUGACGCUCAUGCACGAAAGCGUGGGUAUCGAACAGGAUUAGAUACCCCUGUA